AAUUCCGGCAAAAUCCCAGCUCCGUCGGCUGCGGCGGAGCCGGUUAAGCCAGCUUCAUCUGCUGUUUCGAUGGGGUGGACAGCUGAGGGUUUACCUAUGGGCCAUAGCGUUGGGACGGCGGUGGUGGGGGAGCCAAUCAUGCGUAGGGCUCAAUGGGAAUCUAGCCUUUGCUCUUGUUUUGGGAAGAAUGAUGAAUUUGCCAGCAGCGAUUUUGAAGUUUGUCUGUUAGGAACUCUGGCACCAUGUGUGCUCUAUG
Molecule: unclassified non-coding RNA, 256 nt
Filed under: Hevea brasiliensis (rubber tree)
Lineage: Eukaryota; Viridiplantae; Streptophyta; Magnoliopsida; Malpighiales; Euphorbiaceae
Source: RNAcentral